Molecule: microRNA, 22 nt
Filed under: Homo sapiens (human)
Lineage: Eukaryota; Metazoa; Chordata; Mammalia; Primates; Hominidae
Description: hsa-miR-4781-3p
Source: miRBase by way of RNAcentral
AAUGUUGGAAUCCUCGCUAGAG